Molecule: long non-coding RNA, 598 nt
Organism: Pongo pygmaeus (Bornean orangutan)
Lineage: Eukaryota; Metazoa; Chordata; Mammalia; Primates; Hominidae
Exons: 2
Source: RefSeq, a predicted model, not a curated record
GAGUCUUGCUUAUGUUUUAUCUUCAAAGUGUGGGUCUCUGGGAGCUUCAUAAAUAGCAUCCACCAGGAUUCUGAAUAAAUCGCAAAUUCAGUCACUCAACGAGAAACACUCAAUGUAUCAGGCACGGUGCUGGGCAGAAGGAGACCCCAGGGAAUGACACAGAUAUAAAGGGGGAAACUCAGCAUCUGCAAAGCCAGAAGAAGAGUCUUGCUUUUCACCGUUCAGUAAGAGCCAAUGAGAUCUUGAAGUGAACAGAUUUGGAAAAGUGACGUGAACAGCCAAGAUCAGCAAAUAGCAAGGAACACAAAGAAAAGCUAGCAAGAAAGUAGGAAAAUCAAUAUGAAAAUUGACCACUAAUAUAUCCAUAAGUGUAUAUAUUAUUUUAAACAACAGAUCUGAAUCUGUUGCACACCAGGGCUGCUGUGAUGCAUAGCUCUGGCGGGUGCAUUCUCAUUGUCAUCUGUCUGACUGACUGGGCAGAGCCCAGCUCCAGUGGCUACAUUCAAUGUUCAUGCACCCUCUGGAGCUGUGCCAGGCUGUGUACCUAUUUACACCCUAUAAUGUUCUAACUUUACUGGAAGAAAGGACUGAAACAGUA